UCCGGGAUAAGCCUGGGAAACUAGGUCUAAUACCGGAUACGACCCCAUGGGGCAUCUUGUGGGGUGGAAAGUUCCGGCGGUAUGGGAUGGACCCGCGGCCUAUCAGCUUGUUGGUGGGGUGAUGGCCUACCAAGGCGACGACGGGUAGCCGGCCUGAGAGGGUGACCGGCCACACUGGGACUGAGACACGGCCCAGACUCCUACGGGAGGCAGCAGUGGGGAAUAUUGCACAAUGGGCGAAAGCCUGAUGCAGCGACGCCGCGUGAGGGAUGACGGCCUUCGGGUUGUAAACCUCUUUCAGCAGGGACGAAGCGUGAGUGACGGUACCUGCAGAAGAAGCACCGGCUAACUACGUGCCAGCAGCCGCGGUAAUACGUAGGGUGCGAGCGUUGUCCGGAAUUAUUGGGCGUAAAGAGCUCGUAGGCGGUUUGUUGCGUCGGCCGUGAAAACUUCACGCUUAACGUGGAGCCUGCGGUCGAUACGGGCAGACUUGAGUUCGGCAGGGGAGACUGGAAUUCCUGGUGUAGCGGUGAAAUGCGCAGAUAUCAGGAGGAACACCGGUGGCGAAGGCGGGUCUCUGGGCCGAUACUGACGCUGAGGAGCGAAAGCGUGGGGAGCGAACAGGAUUAGAUACCCUGGUAGUCCACGCCGUAAACGGUGGGUGCUAGGUGGUGGGGGGGCUUCCACGUCCUCCGUGCCGCAGCUAACGCAUUAAGCACCCCGCCUGG
RNAcentral lists this ribosomal RNA (728 nucleotides) under Saccharothrix sp. RNAcentral describes it as "bacterial SSU rRNA". It matches the Rfam family "Bacterial small subunit ribosomal RNA", at positions 137 to 876 of the family's 1533-position model. The record is from RNAcentral. Lineage: Bacteria; Bacillati; Actinomycetota; Actinomycetes; Pseudonocardiales; Pseudonocardiaceae.